GAAAAAGUAUUGAUUGAAAAUGAAACAGCAGAAAGUGAGGAAGAAUUAAGUGGUCAUGAAGGUGAAGCAGAAAUGCAAGUAAAGCAGAUGAAACAAGCACAGGGCCAAGUUCAGGAAACAAAAGUUAACAGUGUUUGCCAAGGUCGUAAACGAGUGAAGAAGACAAUGUGAAGUGAACAAGAAAUAAGAGCAGUGGAAAAACAUUUGGCCAAAUUUAUAAAUAUAUGUAAAGUGCCAGGAAAGUGAGAGUGUGAGGCCUGCAUCCAAAAUGAACCAAAAGCUCUCAAAAAUAGAGAUUGGCUGGGUGUCAAAUUCUAUAUAAAGAACCGAAUUACCUCACUGAAGAGAGCGGUUUAAAACAAGUGUUUCCGUUAUAAAAGGUGUUCAUUUAAAAUUUAGUUAUGGGAAACAAUUUAAUCAGUUUACAUUAGGUCCUUUCAUGGUAAUUGAAAGCAACAGUUCCAAAAAGCCAGUUACUUGUUUGCUCUUUAAAUAAUUUGUAUUUCGUAUGUUUAUAUGCACUUACAUAAAGAUAUACACACGGUUAAUAUUUGCAGGCUAUUUCUUCAUUUAGAAAAAUGAAGA
Long non-coding RNA from Erpetoichthys calabaricus (reedfish), 585 nucleotides. RefSeq lists it as uncharacterized. Lineage: Eukaryota; Metazoa; Chordata; Cladistia; Polypteriformes; Polypteridae. The transcript is spliced from 3 exons. The record is from RefSeq and is a predicted model, not a curated record.